RNA transcript from Lagopus muta (rock ptarmigan), 1974 nucleotides. It is a transcript of the gene named phospholipase A2 crotoxin basic subunit CBd-like, with no coding region annotated. The record is from RefSeq and is a predicted model, not a curated record. The transcript has 5 exons. NCBI's taxonomy places the organism in Eukaryota, Metazoa, Chordata, Aves, Galliformes, Phasianidae.
UCCAGAGCCUCCUAACACCCUCCCAGUGGACCCCAAUCCUUGCUAGAAAUCCCCAGUAUGCUCCCAGUGCUGCAUAGCACCCACAAUAACCUCUCUAUGCCUUCCCAGUGCAGCUUAGUGCUGUCUUGAGCCCUCCAGUCCCCUGCUAGAGCUGCUUAGUGUAAAAGGUUUCCCAGUGCCUUUCCACUGAGUUUCAGCAUUGCCCAAAGCCCUGCAGUUAAAUGCCAGUGCUCUGUGGUAAUGUCUAGAAUCUCCCAGUGCCCCCCAGUGCAACCUACAGACACCCAGUACUCUUCUAACGCCUCACAAAAUGAGAUUUUGGACACUCAGCAUGGGGCUUUAGAUCAACAAAAUUGGGUUUGGGGAGCUGAAAAAUAGGUUAUGGACCCUGAAAAUGGGCAUAGGGAAUGAGAAAAGAUGACUUGAACCCUCAAAAAUCAUGACUUGCAGCCUAUAACUGAACUUGUGAACCCAAAGAAUAACUCCCUAGACUGAAGAGUCUGGGUCCUACAAACAGGAUUACGAGCCCCUAAAGUUAGUACUUGGAUAUUCAAAAAGGGAUCUUGUGACCAAAAAUCAGGAUGGUUAGAACCUCCAAGUGGCAUUUUGGAGUGUAAGAUAAAGAAUGAAGCUCAGGACCCAAAAAAUGAAGAUGGGAGGAUGCCUGGGGUCUGUAGGCAGUACUGAGAGCACUGAGAAAGUGCUGAGGGCAUCUAGAGAGCAAUGGGGGGAACUGGGAGCAUACUGGGAGGCUCUUGGGGGUUACUGGGAGGGCAUUUGGGGGUCUCUAGAUAGCACUGGGGCAUACUGGAAAGCUCAAGACAAUACUGGGAGACAGUGGCAGAGUAUUGGGCUGUUGCAGAAAGCUACAGGGAGCAGCAGGGGGUACUGGAACGGUGCCUGGGGGUCCCUGGACAGCAGCGAGGGGCUCCAGGCUGCGUCACACCAGGCUGUGGGUUUGGCCGGCAAGGGACGGGGCGUAGCAGGACGGCGUGUGGGGACAGGCGAGAGGCAUUUCUGCACUUCCAGGCAGGAGCUGGAGGCACAGGGCAGCGCUCGGCCAGGAGCGAGGGAUCGGAAUUGGAACCGGUGCCAUUUCCCGGCAUGCUCACAGCUCGUGGGAAGCACCCGCACACGUUUGCUCCGGGGCUGGAAGGGAGCACCGUGGGAAACCUGACUGCCCACGGCUGUGGCUCGGGCUGGGGCCGUGGUCGCGCUGCCUUCAUGGACAGGUGCUGCCUGCUCCGUGCCUGCUGCUAUGCCAAGCUGGCCGCACGCCGCUGCCGCGUGGGACAGACCCAACGCCUCCCUGUGCCCCAGCCGGGGGUCCCUGCCUGCAGCUCCGGGACGUGGUGCCAGCGCGCAGCCUGCAGGUGUGAGCGUUUGGCUCAGCUGUGCCGGGCUCGCAGCCGGGCGCUGCGCAGGUGUCGAGGCAGGCGCUGCUGAUGGAGACAGGCUCCUCGUCAUAAACCCACCUCCAUGCUGGAGGACAGCCGCCCUUUUGUGAAGCUGCGUCAUCGGACACUGGGUGUGAGGGGGGCAGCGCAGAUGGAAUGUUUCUGCUCAGAAAAACAAGGGAGGAGCAGACACCUGUGCCUUGUCACAGCAAAGGGCGAGAUGAUGGAAGCAGUCUUGCUGUUGGCGUCCACCCCUUUUGGCUCAAGCUCCCCAUUGGUAAAUCACUGCAGAGAUGUCGGCUCCCUCAGCUUCUUGCUUCGCUGCAGAAUCUUGUAUGUUGCUCCAAAAUAAAACCAGAGAGCACAAAGCUUCGGUCUUCUGUGACUUCACUGUGUUCAGUGACAACCCCUAGCACUGAGGGAAGCUUAUCUGUUAGCAGGGCUUCCUGUGGAGACACCAAUAAAAAAAAAAUCACCCAGCCCAAAGGAGCAGAGCUGAGCAGCAGGGUCCAGAGCCCGCUUAUAUGGCUGCCCAAUGGCACCAUCCCCUUUUUGCAGAAAGGAGAAGCCAGUCCAU